This 259-nucleotide long non-coding RNA is filed under the name Physcomitrium patens. Its description in RNAcentral is "long non-coding RNA (PPAT_LNC010912)". Lineage: Eukaryota; Viridiplantae; Streptophyta; Bryopsida; Funariales; Funariaceae. The record is from RNAcentral.
AAGUCAGUGUUGUAAUGGUGAAUUGGGAUUUUUUUAAUGAAGUGGGUUUGAUUACUCUUGACUCUUUUGUGAAAUCGAGUUACGUCUGUGAUUGAAGAAUUAAAAGGGUGUCUAUAGGAUUGAGUAUGCGGAGUGAAUGAAAUUUAUUGGGUUAAUUUAACAAGACAAUCAGUGGAUACAAGAUCGUAAGUACAAAGCGGUAUCGGAGAUUAGCAGAUUGGGUUGUUUGGGGUUCUCUGUAACGUCUAGAGACCUACCG